RNAcentral lists this ribosomal RNA (465 nucleotides) under uncultured bacterium. RNAcentral's name for it is "bacterial SSU rRNA". It matches the Rfam family "Bacterial small subunit ribosomal RNA", at positions 338 to 795 of the family's 1533-position model. The record is from RNAcentral.
CCUACGGGGGGCAGCAGUAGGGAAUCUUCGGCAAUGGACGAAAGUCUGACCGAGCAACGCCGCGUGAGUGAAGAAGGUUUUCGGAUCGUAAAACUCUGUUGGUAGAGAAGAACGUUGGUCAGAGUGGAAAGCUCAUCAAGUGACGGUAACUACCCAGAAAGGGACGGCUAACUACGUGCCAGCAGCCGCGGUAAUACGUAGGUCCCGAGCGUUGUCCGGAUUUAUUGGGCGUAAAGCGAGCGCAGGUGGUUUAUUAAGUCUGGUGUAAAAGGCAGUGGCUCAACCAUUGUAUGCAUUGGAAACUGAUAGACUUGAGUGCAGGAGAGGAGAGUGGAAUUCCAUGUGUAGCGGUGAAAUGCGUAGAUAUUCGGAGGAACACCAGUGGCGAAGGCGGCUUACUGGUCUGUAACUGACGCUGAGGCGCGAAAGCGUGGGGAGCAAACAGGAUUAGAUACCCCUCUAGUC